Molecule: transfer RNA, 67 nt
Filed under: Marmota monax (woodchuck)
Lineage: Eukaryota; Metazoa; Chordata; Mammalia; Rodentia; Sciuridae
Description: tRNA.Val
Rfam family: tRNA (bases 6-64)
About the family: Transfer RNA (tRNA) molecules are approximately 80 nucleotides in length. Their secondary structure includes four short double-helical elements and three loops (D, anti-codon, and T loops). Further hydrogen bonds mediate the characteristic L-shaped molecular structure. tRNAs have two regions of fundamental functional importance: the anti-codon, which is responsible for specific mRNA codon recognition, and the 3' end, to which the tRNAs corresponding amino acid is attached (by aminoacyl-tRNA synthetases). tRNAs cope with the degeneracy of the genetic code in two manners: having more than one tRNA (with a specific anti-codon) for a particular amino acid; and 'wobble' base-pairing, i.e. permitting non-standard base-pairing at the 3rd anti-codon position.
Source: RNAcentral
GGAAUGUAUCUCAGUGGUAGAGUGCUCGCCUCACAAGCAGGAAGCCCUGGGUUUGAUCCCCAGCCCA